GACGAACGCUGGCGGCGUGCCUAACACAUGCAAGUCGAACGGAGAAGUUCAGCAAUGGAUUUCUUAGUGGCGAACGGGUGAGUAACGCGUAGACAACCUGCCUCUAAGCUGGGGACAACAACUCGAAAGGGUUGCUAAUACCGAAUGUGAACAGUGCCUCGCAUGAGAUGCUGUUUGAAGGUGGCCUCUGAAUAUGCUACCGCUUAGAGAUGGGUCUGCGCCUGAUUAGCUAGUUGGAGGGGUAAUGGCCCACCAAGGCGACGAUCAGUAGCCGGUCUGAGAGGAUGGACGGCCACACUGGGACUGAGACACGGCCCAGGCUCCUACGGGAGGCAGCAGUGGGGAAUCUUCCGCAAUGGACGAAAGUCUGACGGAGUAACGCCGCGUGAGUGAAGAAGGCCCUCGGGUCGUAAAGCUCUGUCUUCAGGGACGAAUGUGCAGAUUGUGAAUAAUGGUUUGUAAUGACGGUACCUGAGGAGGAAGCCACGGCUAACUACGUGCCAGCAGCAGCCGCCG
This 516-nucleotide ribosomal RNA is filed under the name uncultured bacterium. RNAcentral describes it as "partial 16S ribosomal RNA". It matches the Rfam family "Bacterial small subunit ribosomal RNA", at positions 28 to 523 of the family's 1533-position model. The record is from RNAcentral.